UACGUAGGCAGCAAGCGUUGUUCGGAAUUACUGGGCGUAAAGAGUGUGUAGGCGGUGCUCUAAGUCUGUUGUGAAAUCUCCCGGCUUAACCGGGAGGGUGCGGCGGAAACUGGAGUGCUUGAGGGUGGGAGAGGUAAGCGGAAUUCCUGGUGUAGCGGUGAAAUGCGUAGAUAUCAGGAGGAACACCCGUGGCUAAGGCGGCUCUCUAGUACGGUACUGACGCUGAGACGCGAAAGCGUGGGGAGCGAACAGG
RNAcentral lists this ribosomal RNA (253 nucleotides) under uncultured bacterium. RNAcentral describes it as "partial 16S ribosomal RNA". It matches the Rfam family "Bacterial small subunit ribosomal RNA", at positions 524 to 776 of the family's 1533-position model. The record is from RNAcentral.